GAUGAACGCUGGCGGCAUGCUUUACACAUGCAAGUCGAACGGUAACAGGCCGCAAGGUGCUGACGAGUGGCGAACGGGUGAGUAAUGCAUCGGAACGUGCCCAGUCGUGGGGGAUAACGCAGCGAAAGCUGUGCUAAUACCGCAUACGAUCUAUGGAUGAAAGCGGGGGACCGUAAGGCCUCGCGCGAUUGGAGCGGCCGAUGUCAGAUUAGGUAGUUGGUGGGGUAAAGGCGCACCAAGCCAACGAUCUGUAGCUGGUCUGAGAGGACGACCAGCCACACUGGGACAGAGACACGGCCCAGACUCCUACGGGAGGCAGCAGUGGGGAAUUUUGGACAAUGGGCGCAAGCCUGAUCCAGCAAUGCCGCGUGCAGGAAGAAGGCCUUCGGGUUGUAAACUGCUUUUGUACGGAACGAAAAGGUUUGGGUUAAUACCCUGGGCCGAUGACGGUACCGUAAGAAUAAGCACCGGCUAACUACGUGCCAGCCGCCGCCGUAA
This 498-nucleotide ribosomal RNA is filed under the name uncultured bacterium. RNAcentral's name for it is "partial 16S ribosomal RNA". It matches the Rfam family "Bacterial small subunit ribosomal RNA", at positions 28 to 523 of the family's 1533-position model. The record is from RNAcentral.